UCGAGCGGUCCAGGGCUUCGGCCCUGGAUAGCGGCGGACGGGUGAGUAACACGUGGNUAACCUGCCCUGUCGCCUGGGAUAACAGGCCGAAAGGCCUGCUAAUACCGGAUAAGCUCACGGCCCCGCAUGGGGCUGGGAGAAAAGGCGCUGAUGAGGCGUCACGACAGGAGGGGUCCGCGGCCCAUCAGCUGGUUGGUGGGGUAACGGCCCACCAAGGCGACGACGGGUAGCCGGCCUGAGAGGGCGACCGGCCACACUGGGACUGAGACACGGCCCAGACUCCUACGGGAGGCAGCAGUCGGGAAUAUUGCACAAUGGGCGAAAGCCUGAUGCAGCGACGCCGCGUGGGGGAAGAAGGCCUUCGGGUUGUAAAUCCCUGUUGUCCGGGAAGAAGGGCCUCAUCAGGGAAUGGGUGAGGAAUGACGGUACCGGACGAGGAAGCCCCGGCAAACUACGUGCCAGCAGCCGCGGUAAUACGUAGGGGGCGAGCGUUGUCCGGAUUUACUGGGCGUAAAGGGCGUGUAGGCGGCCUGCGAAGUCGGGGGUGAAAGACCGCAGCUCAACUGCGGGGAUGCCUUCGAAACUGGCGGGCUUGAGUGCUCCAGAGGGCAGUGGAAUUCCCGGUGUAGCAGUGAAAUGCGUAGAGAUCGGGAGGAACACCAGUGGCGAAGGCGGCUGCCUGGGGAGUAACUGACGCUGANGCGCGAAAGCUGGGGGANCAAACAGGAUUAGAUACCCUGGUAGUCCCAGCCGUAAACGAUGAGCGCUAGGUGUGGGGAGGUAUGACCCCUUCCGUGCCGGAGCCAACGCACGAAGCGCUCCGCCUGGGGANUACGGCCGCNNNGNUGAAACUCAAAGGAAUUGACGGGGGCCCGCACAAGCNG
RNAcentral lists this ribosomal RNA (884 nucleotides) under uncultured bacterium. RNAcentral's name for it is "bacterial SSU rRNA". It matches the Rfam family "Bacterial small subunit ribosomal RNA", at positions 62 to 932 of the family's 1533-position model. The record is from RNAcentral.